Molecule: long non-coding RNA, 249 nt
Filed under: Gossypium barbadense (sea-island cotton)
Lineage: Eukaryota; Viridiplantae; Streptophyta; Magnoliopsida; Malvales; Malvaceae
Description: long non-coding RNA (GBAR_LNC014859)
Source: RNAcentral
UGGGCUCAAGCCCAAUCGUUUACUAUUACGAGAAAGGGCUUAGGCCCACACUAAAAUGGACUGCUACUGUAACGGGCUCAGGCCCAAACUGCCUUUAUCUACUAUUUAAUUGACUGUUUGCUUAUUAGGGGAUUACACACUGAGUUUUCGUAAACUCACCCCUCUGUUUAACUGUACAGGUAAUCCUCAGUUGUAGGCGGGUCAAUGUUGCGAGGGACUUUGAGGUGGCCACACAACUGCAGCUAUUCU